RNAcentral lists this ribosomal RNA (492 nucleotides) under uncultured bacterium. RNAcentral's name for it is "partial 16S ribosomal RNA". It matches the Rfam family "Bacterial small subunit ribosomal RNA", at positions 29 to 507 of the family's 1533-position model. The record is from RNAcentral.
AGUGAACGCUGGCGGUAGGCCUAACACAUGCAAGUCGAACGGCAGCACAGUAAGAGCUUGCUCUUACGGGUGGCGAGUGGCGGACGGGUGAGGAAUACAUCGGAAUCUACUUUUUCGUGGGGGAUAACGUAGGGAAACUUACGCUAAUACCGCAUACGACCUACGGGUGAAAGCAGGGGAUCUUCGGACCUUGCGCGAUUGAAUGAGCCGAUGUCGGAUUAGCUAGUUGGCGGGGUAAAGGCCCACCAGGGCGACGAUCCGUAGCUGGUCUGAGAGGAUGAUCAGCCACACUGGAACUGAGACACGGUACAGACUCCUACGGGAGGCAGCAGUGGGGAAUAUUGGACAAUGGGCGCAAGCCUGAUCCAGCCAUACCGCGUGGGUGAAGAAGGCCUUCGGGUUGUAAAGCCCUUUUGUUGGGAAAGAAAAGCAGCAGGUUAAUACCCCGCUGUUCUGACGGUACCCAAAGAAUAAGCACCGGCUAACUUCGUG